AUUGAACGCUAGCGGGAUGCCUUACACAUGCAAGUCGAACGGCAGCACGGACUUCGGUCUGGUGGCGAGUGGCGAACGGGUGAGUAAUGUAUCGGAACGUGCCCAGUAGCGGGGGAUAACUACGCGAAAGCGUAGCUAAUACCGCAUACGCCCUACGGGGGAAAGCAGGGGAUCGCAAGACCUUGCACUAUUGGAGCGGCCGAUAUCGGAUUAGCUAGUUGGUGGGGUAACGGCUCACCAAGGCGACGAUCCGUAGCUGGUUUGAGAGGACGACCAGCCACACUAGGACUGAGACACGGCCCAGACUCCUACGGGAGGCAGCAGUGGGGAAUUUUGGACAAUGGGGGAAACCCUGAUCCAGCCAUCCCGCGUGUGCGAUGAAGGCCUUCGGGUUGUAAAGCACUUUUGGCAGGAAAGAAACGUCGCGGGUUAAUACCUCGCGAAACUGACGGUACCUGCAGAAUAAGCACCGGCUAACUACGUG
Molecule: ribosomal RNA, 484 nt
Filed under: uncultured bacterium
Lineage: Bacteria
Description: partial 16S ribosomal RNA
Rfam family: Bacterial small subunit ribosomal RNA
Source: RNAcentral